This 438-nucleotide ribosomal RNA is filed under the name uncultured bacterium. Its description in RNAcentral is "bacterial SSU rRNA". It matches the Rfam family "Bacterial small subunit ribosomal RNA", at positions 338 to 795 of the family's 1533-position model. The record is from RNAcentral.
CCUACGGGCUGCACCAGUGGGGAAUAUUGGACAAUGGGCGAAAGCCUGAUCCAGCAAUGCCGCGUGUGUGAAGAAGGUCUUCGGAUUGUAAAGCACUUUCGACGGGGACGAUGAUGACGGUACCGUAGAAGAAGCCCCGACUAACUUCGUGCCAGCAGCUGCGGUAAUACGAAGGGGGCUAGCGUUGCUCGGAAUGACUGGGCGUAAAGGGCGCGUAGGCGGUUUAUACAGUCAGAUGUGAAAUCCCCGGGCUUAACCUGGGAACUGCAUUUGAGACGCAUAGACUAGAGGUCGAGAGAGGGUUGUGGAAUUCCCAGUGUAGAGGUGAAAUUCGUAGAUAUUGGGGAGAACACCGGUGGCGAAGGCGGCAACCUGCUCGAUACUGACGCUGAGGCGCGAAAGCGUGGGGAGCAAACAGGAUUAGAUACCCGAGUAGUC